GGACUGCUCGGGGUUAGGCUGGGCAUCGGUCAGCGAGUGUUUCUACCCUGUAAGUGCCAAUCCCAAUCUGAAGCAAGAACUGCAUCCCAUCAGGAAUUCCAGCCUAUAGCCCAGCCAUUUGUAUGCUUCUCAUAUUCCCUGAAGUCCACAUAAGUCAUCUUGCUGAUACUAGCAGGAAGCUGGCUGAGUGAUUGGAAAUAAAAAUCUAUAUACACAAUCUUGCUGCAAAUGAAAACCUGUAUCCGAUGAACACCAAAUAAUGGAUUUUCAAACUAGCACUGAAAUGGAAAAGAUCUUUCUGGGUAAGACUUGUGUCUAGAUAAAAUGUAAAUUCAAUCACUCUGUGAAGUGAUUCUGAAUAAUCAGAAAUGCAUACAGCCAGUAAAAUACAUUACCAGAAUAACACAGAAAUGGAACAUGACAAUAUUUUCUUUUUCUGCUUGAGGAUAGAAGUAGACGGUUCUCCCAGAUAAUAAUCCUGUUUCAAGAGAAAACUGUUUACCUUAACAUAAAUAAAUAAAUAAGCGUGCUUCCAGUUUAAUCUGUUUCACUAGUUGGGUUGAUCUUUACCCUGGCUCAAAAUGGGAACAAUUACAUUGUAAAAACUAUCUUUUCAAACACGACUUCUCUGUGUACAUAUUCAGACUCAAGGUCUGUGUGGUGAAGAAUCCAUAGGACUGUAAUCAGCAGGACUAUUCCUGUUCUGACAGGCUCACUGUGUAGUCUUAGGUAAAUUAUCUUGCCAUUGGGUCACAUCUUCCACUCCAUCUUUUGUUCGUUUAUGCCUAAAUUGUCAAAAUAAUAACUUAGAGAGA
Molecule: non-coding RNA, 815 nt
Organism: Anas platyrhynchos (mallard)
Lineage: Eukaryota; Metazoa; Chordata; Aves; Anseriformes; Anatidae
Source: RefSeq, a predicted model, not a curated record